GCUGAUUCACUUCAGUUGGCGUUCCCCAACGCCCGUGAUUCCAUGAAAUUCAAUCAAUUGCUGCUUCUGCUGUUCUGAUCGCGAACCCCAAAUCCCAAAACUCCUAAGCCCAAAUCAGAUGGGCAGCAAAAGCAAAACCAAAGAGAAGAAAGCAGUUGGAGGACUCAAUCGACGACGAUAAAUUACUUUGGUUGAUUAGAUUUGCUGUACACGUUCUUCUUAGACAGGGUGUGCUUGGUAUUAAGGUGCAGAUCAUGCUCGACUGGGAUCCUAAGGGAAAGCAGGGACCAAUGACUCCAUUGCCUGAUUUGGUGACCAUCCACACCGCCAAGGAAGAACAAUAUCUUCCAGUUCCACCAGCAGAAAUUGAUAUAGAGCCAGUUCCAGUUCCAAUAGCUUGAAUUUAUUGAGAGAUCUAAACCAGUCACAAGUUAGUUACAACAGUAAAUAGUUAGCUCUGUUACCAUGUGGAAAGUGUUGAAGAAGAUAUUUUCAUUUCAUAGCUUAAUUGUCAGUACACAGGGAUACAUAUAGUCACAAAGAGUCUUUACACUUAUACAACUAACUACACAAAUACCACAACUAACUAUUUACUGUUGUAACUAACUUGUGGCUGGUUUAGAUCUCUCAAUAUUGCCAACAUCCAUAGCCAACAUUUCGACCAAACUCGAAGUUCUUACUCUUGGGAGGAAUUUGAUUCAUGGAAGUAUCCCUAUCGCUAUCGGAAGUCUGGUAAACUUGAACCUUCUGGUAAUGGAAGGUAAUAUUUUGAUGGUAGUGUCCCCGCUCAGAUUGGGAAGCUUCAGAAGUUAGAGUGGGAGAUUUGGAAAAUCUCGCGGAGCUCGAUGUAUCAGGAAACAAAUUAUCAGGUGAAAUCCCCAAAACUAUUGGCAGUUGUAUUAUGUUGCGGCGCCUUCAUAUGGAAGGUAAUGAAUUUAAAGGUCUAGACUCAUGGUUGUAUCCAAGAGACAAGGAGCAAUCUCAGAUUAAGAGAUUAAGCCUUAACCAAAGAUUGAAUAUUGCCAUUGAUGUUGCUUCCGCGUUGGAUUAUCUGCACCACCAUUGUGAAACAUCCAUUGUUCAUUGUGAUCUAAAGCCAAGCAAUGUUCUUCUUAAUGAAGAUAUGGUAGCCCAUGUUGGUGACUUUGGAUUAACAAGGUUCCUCUCGGAAUCAUCAAUGAUUCCACCCAAAGUCAAGCAAUGUCAGUGGGGCUGAAAGGUUCCGUAGGCUACAUUCGUCCAGG
Molecule: non-coding RNA, 1244 nt
Organism: Malus domestica (apple)
Lineage: Eukaryota; Viridiplantae; Streptophyta; Magnoliopsida; Rosales; Rosaceae
Source: RefSeq, a predicted model, not a curated record